GCGGGUAUCGUAUAGCGGUUAUUAUGUAAGUUUUCCAAACUUGAGACGAGGGUUCGACUCCCUCUACCCGCUCCA
RNAcentral lists this transfer RNA (75 nucleotides) under bacterium. RNAcentral describes it as "tRNA-Gly". It matches the Rfam family "tRNA". Rfam says of the family: Transfer RNA (tRNA) molecules are approximately 80 nucleotides in length. The record is from RNAcentral.